Molecule: long non-coding RNA, 670 nt
Organism: Oreochromis niloticus (Nile tilapia)
Lineage: Eukaryota; Metazoa; Chordata; Actinopteri; Cichliformes; Cichlidae
Exons: 3
Source: RefSeq, a predicted model, not a curated record
CCCCUCACUGGCUAUUUUCUCUUUUCAGACCAAGCCUAGAGAUAGUUGUGCAGGAGAAUGACAGCAGAUUGCAGCAGUUUCUAAAAUACUCAGACCAACACCCAUGUCACAUACCAAGUCACAUCAGUCAUCUUUUUCCCCCACGCAGAUGCUCAAUUUGAACUUCACUGAGUUGCUGCACGUAUUUUAUGUGCACAUAAAAAAGUCUUAGUUUCUUUUGUAUAAUCAGACACGUUUAUUUGCUCUCCCCAUAAAGAUGAAAAACAGAAGCAAAACUGUUAAAUAUUAGUGUAUUAGAUGAUUGAUUAGCUUAGGCCAGCAAGAACACCGUGAAGACACUUUUAAAAUGGAUUAGCUGCAAGACUUAGCUGGAAAAAGUAUCAUCUCAACCACAGCUACGACAAUGACGGGCUCUUCCAGCUAAUUAGCUAAAAACUGAGUUCUUCGAUGGAUUAAAUUAAACAGUAACACUUGAAGAAUUUGCGUUUCGGAGGUCCAGAGAGGAGCUGCAGCAGGGCAUCAGGAGGACACAGGGUCCUGAGUAGGGGAGCAUUUGUGAGGUGAUGUAAAGUCUGCAGGCCUGUUGCAUGUCCUGUGAAUGUUGGAACUAUUAUCCAACUCAUAACUAUGAUGUCUUGAUUGACAUAGCUAAUUUGGCUCUUUAAGGUGU